Molecule: ribosomal RNA, 932 nt
Filed under: Galerina unicolor
Lineage: Eukaryota; Fungi; Basidiomycota; Agaricomycetes; Agaricales; Galerinaceae
Description: partial large subunit ribosomal RNA
Rfam family: Eukaryotic large subunit ribosomal RNA
Source: RNAcentral
UCAAUAAGCGGAGGAAAAGAAACUAACAAGGAUUCCCCUAGUAACUGCGAGUGAAGCGGGAAAAGCUCAAAUUUAAAAUCUGGUGGUCUUUGGCCAUCCGAGUUGUAAUCUAGAGAAGUGUUAUCCGCGCUGGACCGUGUACAAGUCUCCUGGAAUGGAGCGUCAUAGAGGGUGAGAAUCCCGUCUUUGACACGGACUACCAGGGCUUUGUGAUGCGCUCUCAAAGAGUCGAGUUGUUUGGGAAUGCAGCUCAAAAUGGGUGGUAAAUUCCAUCUAAAGCUAAAUAUUGGCGAGAGACCGAUAGCGAACAAGUACCGUGAGGGAAAGAUGAAAAGAACUUUGGAAAGAGAGUUAAACAGUACGUGAAAUUGCUGAAAGGGAAACGCUUGAAGUCAGUCGCGUUGUCCGGAAAUCAACCUUGCUUUUGCUGGGCGUACUUUCCGGUUGACGGGUCAGCAUCAAUUUUGACCGUUGGAUAAAGUUCAGGGGAAUGUGGCAUCUUCGGAUGUGUUAUAGCCUUUGUUCGCAUACAACGGUUGGGAUUGAGGAACUCAGCACGCCGCAAGGCCGGGUAUUUAUACUACGUUCGUGCUUAGGAUGCUGGCAUAAUGGCUUUAAUCGACCCGUCUUGAAACACGGACCAAGGAGUCUAACAUGCCUGCGAGUGUUUGGGUGGAAAACCCGAGCGCGUAAUGAAAGUGAAAGUUGAGAUCCCUGUCGCGGGGAGCAUCGACGCCCGGACCAGACCUUUUGUGACGGAUCCGCGGUAGAGCAUGUAUGUUGGGACCCGAAAGAUGGUGAACUAUGCCUGAAUAGGGUGAAGCCAGAGGAAACUCUGGUGGAGGCUCGUAGCGAUUCUGACGUGCAAAUCGAUCGUCAAAUUUGGGUAUAGGGGCGAAAGACUAAUCGAACCAUCUAGUAGCUGGUUCCUG